UCCGAAAGUGCGAGAAGACCGAGCAGCUUUUCAGGGACUGCGCUGGCAGGCCUGUUGAAGUGGUGCAAUCCAAUAAAGAGUACACUGAAGAUGAUGUCA
Non-coding RNA from Prunus avium (sweet cherry), 99 nucleotides. NCBI's taxonomy places the organism in Eukaryota, Viridiplantae, Streptophyta, Magnoliopsida, Rosales, Rosaceae. The record is from RefSeq and is a predicted model, not a curated record.